This 2253-nucleotide long non-coding RNA is filed under the name Strongylocentrotus purpuratus (purple sea urchin). RNAcentral's name for it is "uncharacterized LOC115918528". Lineage: Eukaryota; Metazoa; Echinodermata; Echinoidea; Camarodonta; Strongylocentrotidae. The record is from RNAcentral.
UAUUUUUUAGUUCGAUUAGGAGGAGUUAUUAUACUACAAAGGGGCUCACAACUACAAAGACUGGUAGUUACUUCUUCUAAAGAGUGGUGGGAUGUAGGAUAUGUUAUGGACUUUCUGCAUAGUAUUACACGGAACAUGUAUUACACGGAACAACGCGUAGACUAGUUGUGCCCCUUGGAAUCCUUCACAUUGUGCAGAAGCAAAGUUACAUGUCUUAGGUGCAAGGCUGUUCAUCAAACACAGGAAAAGAUUUCUUCUAGAAGAAAGGAUUUGAAAACGACUGUUUAUUUGCUGGCCCCGUCUGACUACGUUGGAAGAUAUCUAAACACCUUGGUAAUCUGACCGUAGAAACAUGAAUUCACCGCAGAGUCCGAAUAGUCCCAGAACCCCGCAUAAAUUCCUUCAAACUCUCCGAAACUCGCCUUCGUUAUUGCGAAAACGAUUCAUGCAUUCAGAUGGUGAUUUAGGCGGUGAAGGAACAGCAACCAAGGAACGGUCAUUCCACGUGCGUUACGGAGGACGCGUACCGGUGGGGUCACUACGGGUCUGUGACGCGGUUACUGCGGUCGAGAAGUUAGCGCCGUUAGCCAACGCCCAACAAACGCAUCACCAACCAAUCAACACAUCGUGUACAAUGCGCGUGGACAAAUGCACGAUAACGUUCGAGGACGCGUCUCGCGAUGUGCUGGAGUCGUUACCGCUGUUUUGUAUCGCGUACUGCGCUACAGAUCUCAGGCAUCCACGCGCUGUGGCGCUAACGUGUCAGACUAAAGAUUCGAUCCAUUGUUACGUAUUUGAAGCGACGACGCGUGAGAAAGCGUCUGAGAUCGUAACUUAUGUUAGGAAAGCUUUCGAAGCCGCUUGGGAAGACUGGAAAAGAAGUCACCCGGAUGGUGGAGAUCCGAGAGAAAGGCAGAUAAAUCUUUCGCCUCCAGGACACGUGCCUCUUUAAAGUGGACGAUAUGGUUUGUUUUAGACGUGACUCCGUAACCACCUCCAAACCCUAAAACACUGCCUCCAAACCAAUUCAGCCUAAUGUGUAAUGCCUAUUGGCAAUCGCCAGGGGUGAAAAUACCUGAAUUUUGCAACAUAUACCUCCGGUCUUUGAACCCUAUGUCUAAUGCCCAAAACGCUUGCUCAUUUCAUUUUGCCAGCAGUUUUUAAACGAGUGGUCGCUUCACGUCUAAAUAAGCCUCGAUACAGCAACGAACAAAUCCUUGACAUUGUUUUUUAACAAGACAGUGUACUUUUUUCAUCAGGAAAUGCUACAUGACUGCUCUUUUCAGGCAUUCCUUGCCAGUGUUCUUAUUUAUGGAUUUUACCCUUAAAACUUUAUUACAUUUUUAUGUAAAACUGUAGGUGACUGCAUUAUUUAAAUCGCGUAUCUAAAGAUUCAUCAUCAGAUUUGUUAGCUAUUUUUUGUUAUGACUUUAAGAUAUUCAUGGAGAAAGUAACGACGAAGAAGAAAUGUCAUAUCAUCUAUUCAGAGGCAGAAUGGGAUUAAUAACUCUGUGUUAAAGCCAUACUGAACUAGAAGCACUACCGCAAAAUCCCUCUAGCGCCAUCUCAGGUCAGCUGUAGCAGUAUUGUCGAUGCUAUAAAUCUAGCUGAACUUUUUACAAGUCAUGAGAUGGCGCUGUGCAAUUAACAGCAAGCCAGAGCAGAAAGAGCAUCAGUCCAGUAUCUCGUUUUAUAGGCCCCUAGAGUCGGUAUAGAAGACAACUGACAUUGAGAGAUAACGUUUAUAGUUUUAAACUUUAAAACAUCAGCUUAAAACGUAUUUUGUUCAAAAGUGUGGUAGGAUAUUAUAACUAUCUUUCUAAUUUGAGUAUUGGCAUACUGUAUAGGCAUGGUAGGAUAAAACGUUUGGAGUUUCAUGUAUUUCUAGCGACUAGUAAGGAGUAGCUGCAAUGUGAAGGUUUGCAAUGCUCCUGGCGAAUGAAUUCCUCUUCAAACUCUGUAUUUUGUUAUGAAUUACUGAAACGUUAUAAAGGUCUGUCCCAAACUGUUGUUAAUCUGAGUUAAAUAGAAAUCUAAUGCACUUAACGCUGCUUAUUUUAUUCUAACACCAGUUUAUUUGUUUACUAUUCCGUGAAAGGUACUGAUAUAUAUUCAUUUUAUCACUUUGCACUUCACAUGCUUUAGUACAUAAACAAACGAAGACGAAUCAUUUCAUUUUAUUAUUCUAAUUUUAAUCACAAAUACACUGCUUGUAAAACUUGAACCAGCAUUUAUGAAGAAAAAAUGGAAAUU